RNAcentral lists this ribosomal RNA (337 nucleotides) under uncultured eukaryote. RNAcentral describes it as "partial 18S ribosomal RNA". It matches the Rfam family "Eukaryotic small subunit ribosomal RNA", at positions 1469 to 1796 of the family's 1831-position model. The record is from RNAcentral.
ACCCUUAGAUGUUCGGGGCCGCACGCGCGCUACACUGAUGGGGACAGCGUGUUUGCCAUUCCUGGUCCGGCAGGAUUGGGCAAUCCGUUGAACCCCCGUCGUGAUUGGGAUCGGAGCUUGUAACUAUUCUCCGUAAACGAGGAAUUCCCAGUAAGCGCAAGUCAUCAGCUUGCGUUGAUUACGUCCCUGCCCUUUGUACACACCGCCCGUCGCUACUACCGAUUGGAUGGCUUAGUGAGACCCUCGGACCGAUAGGCUGUCGCCGCGGCAACGUGGCGACCGGCCCGUCGGGAAGAAGGUCAAACUUGACUGUCUAGAGGAAGUAAAAGUCGUAACA